UACGUAGGUGGCAAGCGUUGUCCGGAUUUACUGGGCGUAAAGGAUGCGUAGGCGGAUGUUUAAGUGAGAUGUGAAAUACCCGAGCUCAACUUGGGUGCUGCAUUUCAAACUGGAUAUCUAGAGUGCAGGAGAGGAAAGCGGAAUUCCUAGUGUAGCGGUGAAAUGCGUAGAGAUUAGGAAGAACACCAGUGGCGAAGGCGGCUUUCUGGACUGUAACUGACGCUGAGGCAUGAAAGCCAGGGGAGCAAACGGG
This 253-nucleotide ribosomal RNA is filed under the name uncultured bacterium. RNAcentral's name for it is "partial 16S ribosomal RNA". It matches the Rfam family "Bacterial small subunit ribosomal RNA", at positions 524 to 776 of the family's 1533-position model. The record is from RNAcentral.